This 710-nucleotide long non-coding RNA is filed under the name Heterocephalus glaber (naked mole-rat). RNAcentral's name for it is "lncRNA (ENSHGLG00000050846.1)". Lineage: Eukaryota; Metazoa; Chordata; Mammalia; Rodentia; Bathyergidae. The record is from RNAcentral.
CAACAGUGAGGCAGGAACAGGUGGCAGGGAGUAACCAGGACCGACCCAAAGUGUGCAGGCGCCAGCAGUCAGAAGAGCGCCCCAGCUGGAUGGGAGGCCGGCUGCUCUGUGUACCAGGCGUCCCACUGUUGAGUCAUCAGUGACUCGGUCCAGAGGAGCCUCACGCGGGUGUGGGAUGCAGCCAGCCAGAAGAGCGAGCAUCCUGGGGCCUGGAGCAGCAGCCACGUGAGGACACAGGAGGAGGAGGGAACGCAUGCACUCGGUGGUAGCAGGCUUGCUAUUGCCUGACCAUGGAGCAGCCCGCCAGCCAGGAUGGGACCACAAGGGCUUCGGGACUUGGAACUGGCAGUGGGGUCCAGGGACACUGCUCACUGGAGGCAACGACACAGACACAGGAACCUGACCUUGAGGAGGGUUCCAGCUCUGGAAAGCUUCGGCUCAUUCUAAGGUUCCUGACAGUGGCCUCUGUGCCGACGUGGCCUGGCCCUGCAGCCCCAGGCAGCCGCCUCGCAUGGCCGAGCGAUGCAUCCAGUCAGCCCCGUGAUGCUCCAGGGGCCUUUUGGCUCUCGUCACCCUUACCAACCACGAUCUCUCUCACAGUCUCCUACAGCUGAGGAAAGCCUCCUUAGAAAAACCUGAGUAUCACUUAUGGGCCUGUGUAUUCCUAUGUAUCCUUUAUCCUCCUCCAAUUCCCCUGAUGUUUUAAACCC